UUUCCGUAGGUGAACCUGCGGAAGGAUCAUUACAGAGUUCAUGCCCUCACGGGUAGAUCUCCCACCCUUGAAUAUUUAUACCUUAGUUGCUUUGGCAGGCCGUGGAAACACCAUGGGCUCCGGCUUAAGCGUGCCUACCAGAGGAAACAAACUCUGUUUUUAGUGAUGUCUGAGUACUAUAUAAUAGUUAAAACUUUCAACAACGGAUCUCUUGGUUCUG
Molecule: unclassified non-coding RNA, 220 nt
Filed under: plant metagenome
Description: partial contains small subunit ribosomal RNA, internal transcribed spacer 1, and 5.8S ribosomal RNA
Source: RNAcentral